This 588-nucleotide long non-coding RNA is filed under the name Corvus moneduloides (New Caledonian crow). RNAcentral describes it as "lncRNA (ENSCMUG00000016867.1)". The record is from RNAcentral. Lineage: Eukaryota; Metazoa; Chordata; Aves; Passeriformes; Corvidae.
UUAAACUAGAACUUAAUUUUAUCCAGGUGAUUCUGUUCUGUGUUUCUUCAAGUCAUUAAGUCUUUCUACAUAACCCUGUUCACUCUUGUCUACAGUAACAAGAGCAGCUUGAACACCAUGAAUGUGCAGAAAUAGUGGUUUCCCUAGCAAGUGACUAUGAUGAGCUUGGAACUGUGUGAACAGCAGCGAUAAACAGUUGUUGACUUCUCUGAGGCUUUUUUUUUGUGUCAGAAUUGAGAUGUACCCCACAGUAUAGCUCCAAGGUUUUGUUCCAAAGGAAAAAAAAAGCUGAGACAGUACUGCAUUUUUAAUGGCUGAGUCAUCUGCCUCUGUCCCAACAGCAGAAUCUCAUUUUAGGACUCCUCUGAAAUUCAAGUUUGUUUCCACUGCUGCUGAUAAAGAAGGGGAGAUGGGGCAGACAUGGGAAAAUUUCAACCAGAUGAUGGAGAAAAAUGAUAGUGCUCCAAUGCUGUAAAGGAGACAUACCUGCUAAAGAAAAGGAGGUAAGUCCAACAUCCUUCUGCAAAGGAAGGGAUCAGUGCUCCAAAGAAGACGUUUUUCAAAUAUUUGUGUUUUUUUUUUUUUUUA